GUGCUUGCUUCAACAGCACAUAUACUAAAAUUGGAAUGAUACAGAGAAUAUUAGCAUGGCCCCUGCACAAGGAUGACAUGCAAAUUUGUAAAGUGUUUGAUAUUUUU
Globicephala melas (long-finned pilot whale) is the source of this 107-nucleotide small nuclear RNA. NCBI's taxonomy places the organism in Eukaryota, Metazoa, Chordata, Mammalia, Artiodactyla, Delphinidae. The record is from RefSeq and is a predicted model, not a curated record.